RNAcentral lists this transfer RNA (64 nucleotides) under Yangisunda tiani. RNAcentral describes it as "tRNA-Val". The record is from RNAcentral. Lineage: Eukaryota; Metazoa; Arthropoda; Insecta; Hemiptera; Cicadellidae. RNAcentral also lists the same sequence under 1 other name.
CAGAUUGUAGCUUAUUCUAAAGUUUAUUAUUUACACUAAUAAGAAAAAUUAUUUUUUUAUCUGA